UACAGAGGUCCCAAGCGUUGUUCGGAUUCACUGGGCGUAAAGGGUGCGUAGGUGGCGGGGUCAGUCUGACGUGAAAUCUCCGGGCUUAACCCGGAAAUGGCGUUGGAAACUACCUUGCUUGAGGGUUGGAGGGGGGACUGGAAUACUUGGUGUAGCAGUGAAAUGCGUAGAUAUCAAGUGGAACACCAGUGGCGAAGGCGGCGACCUGGUCCGAUACUGACGCUGAGGCGCGAAAGCGUGGGGAGCAAACAGG
This 253-nucleotide ribosomal RNA is filed under the name uncultured bacterium. RNAcentral's name for it is "partial 16S ribosomal RNA". It matches the Rfam family "Bacterial small subunit ribosomal RNA", at positions 524 to 776 of the family's 1533-position model. The record is from RNAcentral.